RNAcentral lists this ribosomal RNA (168 nucleotides) under Felis silvestris (wild cat). Its description in RNAcentral is "partial small subunit ribosomal RNA". The record is from RNAcentral. Lineage: Eukaryota; Metazoa; Chordata; Mammalia; Carnivora; Felidae.
GUUAUCCUAAACAAAACUAUCCGCCAGAGAACUACCAGCAACAGCUUAAAACUCAAAGGACUUGGCGGUGCUUUACAUCCCCCUAGAGGAGCCUGUUCUAUAAUCGAUAAACCCCGAUAUACCUCACCAUCUCUUGCUAAUUCAGCCUAUAUACCGCCAUCUUCAGCA